This 846-nucleotide long non-coding RNA is filed under the name Actinidia chinensis (golden kiwifruit). RNAcentral describes it as "long non-coding RNA (ACHI_LNC005378)". The record is from RNAcentral. Lineage: Eukaryota; Viridiplantae; Streptophyta; Magnoliopsida; Ericales; Actinidiaceae.
GAAGAUAUCCACCACCAACACCAAUUCCUUGUUGUUUCUAAAAGGAACACAUAACAGAAUGCUAUAGACACCCAUUUCAGAAUGUCUCUAGAUGAUUGGGUCCUAAGAGGCAUGCUAUUAGCCUAAUUAUAGGAUGCCAUGUGAGAUUAUGAAAAGAUGGUUGAGUGCAACUAAUUAUAAUUCCAAGGACAGAAGGGUAAUUUUAGCCACUCACCACUCAAUCAAAAUCAAUUUUGAGGGCUAAAUGGUAGGCACCAUUGAGAGAGCUAGACACCUCAUACGACACCCAUGUCCCAUGACCUUGCUUUAUUAUGGAACACACUUUAAUUAUGUUAUGUCUAAGCCAAUGCAAGCUAAUGAAGUUCUUCCUUUCCCUAAAAAGCCAAUGCAAACUAAGCAAUAGAUUAGGUGACAUAUUUAUUGUAGUUUAGGAUUGUUUGACAUAUUCUGUAUUUUCAUUUACAUAGUAAAGCAACUACAAUAGCCAUCUAUAUAACUACGUAAAUCUUGUAUUUGUGUGUUCAUUUAUAUCUAUUGAUUUCUCUAUUUAUAUCCCGAAAUUCUAUGCUAGGGUUUCAUAUAUUCCUAAAAAAGCAAACACAAUGGUAAAAGAAGGCUCUCUGUAUCAUAGUUUACCGAUAUGGCGAACGAAAACGAGAUAGAUAAUUCAAAAAGACAUGUGAAAACUAUUUUCAAUAUGAUAUGAGAAAACAGAAAAAGCUAGCUUGAAAUAAAAGUUAAAACUAACAUAUAGUAUUGGAAGAUAAAUUAUUGUCUUAAAAGUAGGAAUACGAAUAGUAAAAUAAUCUUAGGCUAGUAAUUUUCACAUUUAAAAAAAAAAUUGCC